GAGCAUGGGGCAGCUACCAUGCAGUCGAGCGGUAGCACAGGGAGCUUGCUCCUGGGUGACGAGCGGCGGACGGGUGAGUAAUGUCUGGGAAACUGCCUGAUGUAGGGGGAUAACUACUGGAAACGGUAGCUAAUACCGCUUAACGUCUACUGACCCCAGUGGGGGACCUUCGGGCCUCACGCCAUCACAUGUGCCCCUAUGGGAUUAGCUACUACGUGGGGUAAUGGCUCACCUACGCGACUAUCCCUAGCUGGUCUGAGAGGAUGACCACCCACACUGGAACUGAGACACGGUCCAUACUCCUACGGGAGGGACCACUGGGGAAUAUUGCACAAUGGGCACAUCCCUGAUGCACCCAUGUCUCGUGUGUGAAAAAAGCCUUUGGGUUGUGAAGCACUUUUUCCGCGGAGGAAAGGUUCAGUGUUUACAUGACCGUUCAUUGUCGUGACU
RNAcentral lists this ribosomal RNA (450 nucleotides) under Serratia sp. (in: enterobacteria). Its description in RNAcentral is "bacterial SSU rRNA". It matches the Rfam family "Bacterial small subunit ribosomal RNA", at positions 35 to 479 of the family's 1533-position model. The record is from RNAcentral. Lineage: Bacteria; Pseudomonadati; Pseudomonadota; Gammaproteobacteria; Enterobacterales; Yersiniaceae.